AGCUGAUCACUGGGUGUAAAGGGUGCGCAGGCGGUUUUGUAAGACAGAGGUGAAAUCCCCGGGCUCAACCUGGGAACUGCCUUUGUGACUGCAAGGCUGGAGUACGGCAGAGGGGGAUGGAAUUCCGCGUGUAGCAGUGAAAUGCGUAGAUAUGCGGAGGAACACCGAUGGCGAAGGCAAUCCCCUGGGCCUGCACUGACGCUCAUGCACGAAAGCGUGGGGAGCAAACA
This 230-nucleotide ribosomal RNA is filed under the name uncultured Alicycliphilus sp. RNAcentral's name for it is "partial 16S ribosomal RNA". It matches the Rfam family "Bacterial small subunit ribosomal RNA", at positions 550 to 774 of the family's 1533-position model. The record is from RNAcentral. Lineage: Bacteria; Pseudomonadati; Pseudomonadota; Betaproteobacteria; Burkholderiales; Comamonadaceae.